AUUAAACGCUGGCGGCAUGCCUUACACAUGCAAGUCGAACGGCAGCACGGGGGCAACCCUGGUGGCGAGUGGCGGACGGGUGAGUAAAGCAUCGGAACGUAUCCUGGAGUGGGGGGAUAACGUAGCGAAAGUUACGCUAAUACCGCAUAUUCUGUGAGCAGGAAAGCAGGGGAUCGCAAGACCUUGCGCUCUGGGAGCGGCCGAUGUCGGAUUAGCUAGUUGGUGGGGUAAAGGCCUACCAAGGCGACGAUCCGUAGCGGGUCUGAGAGGAUGAUCCGCCACACUGGGACUGAGACACGGCCCAGACUCCUACGGGAGGCAGCAGUGGGGAAUUUUGGGACAAUGGGCGGAAGCCUGAUCCAGCCAUGCCGCGUGAGUGAAGAAGGCCUCGGUUGUAAG
Molecule: ribosomal RNA, 399 nt
Filed under: uncultured bacterium
Lineage: Bacteria
Description: bacterial SSU rRNA
Rfam family: Bacterial small subunit ribosomal RNA
Source: RNAcentral